Molecule: long non-coding RNA, 1449 nt
Organism: Protobothrops mucrosquamatus (brown spotted pit viper)
Lineage: Eukaryota; Metazoa; Chordata; Lepidosauria; Squamata; Viperidae
Exons: 2
Source: RefSeq, a predicted model, not a curated record
CUGCUUCGGAGUUGCAGCCGCGGGAUGGACGUGGAAAGCGGAAAGCCCCCGGACCUCGCCUGGGCGACGGAAAAGUUAGAAGCGGAGAGAGAGAGCGAAUUAGAAUUAACCACACUUCUCAGUACUACUCAGACUAGAGGCUAAUCUACUCCGGAGAAUUAAACAAGAACUGGUUAGCAGCAAAGACCUGGUUGUGAUGCUGAACUCAGUCUAAACUGCCACCCUGUUCAUAGGAAGAAGCAGCCAAGCUACUUCCUUGUGGCUAAGAAACCUUUGGGAUGGAGAGGUUGUGAAUGAUGAUAUGAGCAUGUUAUUAGUGUCAAAAGGGUAAUUUUUCAUUCCAUGUUUUGCCAUUAGGAUAGGAUUAAUGGAAAAAUGGGUGUUUUAAGUCUCAGAAAUGUACAAGACAUGUGUCCCUUGUUUACACGAAUGCCAUGUAAUGUAAUGUUGCUCAAUUUUGGUAACUAUUGUAAUGAUAGUUAUUCUUCUGGGGGAGAAUAAUUGGGUGCCUGACCUUCCUCUCAGGGAUCACCUUUUUGGUUUAUUUUUUGUUUCCUGCUUCCAAGAAACAUAGCAGGUAUUGGAAUAAUACAAUAAUGUCAACAUAAUUGACAGAGCCAAUUUUUUCCUGGAAGAUCUGUGGUGUUUACAUAAAAAAGGGGUGUUAAGUUUCCUAGAGGUUUAUAUUUGUUGGUUUUGUAUUUUUUUUUAAAUUUACAAGGUUGUCAUAAAUUUAUCUCAUCAGAUUGUGUUAUGGUAUAUUAGAGAAUUUAACUUUAAAACUAGACGACUAUUGCCUGUUGGGUUAUCACCUUAGAGGUUAUUUUUUUACCAGAGUCCUCAGUGCUUUCAAUAAUGGCAGAGCUUCUAAUGUACCUGAACAAUUUCUAAAAAUUCAGUGACAUAUUCAAAGAUGGAUUUGCCUUGAAAGUAGUCUGUGUUGAACUGUAUAGCAAGUCGAACAUCAGGAGUUGACCACAGGAAACAUUUUAUGGCAUUUGGUAUUAUGUCAUAAAAUGCUUUAUGAUAACUUUUGUUUCAUAAAAUGUUUUAUAAAAUUUGCCAAAUCUCAGUUCCGCAGGAGACAUGGGUCCCAGAUUUUGGAUGUACUCUAAAUGUUAGCCCAUUUGAUGUAGUUCGGUUGAAAAAAUUCUGCGCUAGGAUGCACCAUUUCACCCAGUUAAGAUUAAGACACGAGAGAUUUAAUAGCAUGUGGAUAAUAGAUAUUUUUUAAAAUAUAAAAACAAUAAUUUAUUUAUAAAUAAAACAAUAUUUUGCAUUGUUUUUGUUGUGUUGAAUCCAGUUUGAUUCUUGUUGAUUACAUGGACAAAUUCAUGCUGUUUUCUUGUCACAGGACAGAAAUGAUUUGCUGCUGUCUUCUGGAAGAUACUUUUUGUUUACUUCCCAGUGUAGGCUUAUAGCUUUGGGAAAACAAAGACAAUCUGUCUC